UUGAUUUUUAUAUUAUAUCAAGUGUAUUGAUGAGUCCCAAGAACCAAGGAUGAGUCUGGAAUAAGUCUGAAGGCCGAAAGUCAAGUUUUGGAAGCAAAAGGAAUUGCACAAGGUGUAUAAUCAUAUUGCACGGCCUGUACAACAUGGCACUGUAGAAUACAAAGUGCAUGGCCCGUGCAAAGUGACCCUACAAUCCCUUGUGCCUCGUGCAACCUUCUGUACAAAGGAAAUCCAAGAAAUAAGGACAAUA
Molecule: unclassified non-coding RNA, 250 nt
Filed under: Hevea brasiliensis (rubber tree)
Lineage: Eukaryota; Viridiplantae; Streptophyta; Magnoliopsida; Malpighiales; Euphorbiaceae
Source: RNAcentral